This 433-nucleotide ribosomal RNA is filed under the name uncultured bacterium. Its description in RNAcentral is "partial 16S ribosomal RNA". It matches the Rfam family "Bacterial small subunit ribosomal RNA", at positions 29 to 507 of the family's 1533-position model. The record is from RNAcentral.
AACGAACGCUGGCGGCAUGCUUAACACAUGCAAGUCGAACGAGACCUUCGGGUUUAGUGGCGCACGGGUGCGUAACGCGUGGGAAGCUGCCCUUAGGUUCGGAAUAACUCCCCGAAAGGGGAGCUAAUACCGGAUAAUGUAUUCGGACCAAAGAUUUAUCGCCUUUGGAUGGGCCCGCGUCAGUUUCGCUAGUUGGUAGUGGAAUAGCAUACCAUGGCAUCGUUCCAUAGCUGGUAUGAGAGGAUGAUCAACCCCACUGGAACUACGACACGGCCCAGACUCCGACGGAGGGCCGCAGACUGGCAUAUCAUCCGAUGCGCGCUAACCGGGCCCCGCACUGUCGCGUAGGAGAUCAUGCCAUUAGUGUAGUAAAUUUCCCUUCGCCGGAGUGAUAAUGACAGUACCGGGUUAAGAAGCACCGGCUAACUCCGUG